ACGCUCGACACCUACGGGAGGCAGCAGUUGGGAAUAUUGGACAAUGGAGGAAACUCUGAUCCAGUGACGCCGCGUGAAGGAAGAAGGUCUUCGGAUUGUAAACUUAUUUUGUCAGGGAAGAAAAAAUGACUGUACCUGAAGAAAAAGCACCGGCUAACUACGUGCCAGGAGCCGCGGUAAUCUGAGCGGGCUGCAAGGC
This 199-nucleotide ribosomal RNA is filed under the name uncultured bacterium. RNAcentral's name for it is "partial 16S ribosomal RNA". It matches the Rfam family "Bacterial small subunit ribosomal RNA", at positions 328 to 538 of the family's 1533-position model. The record is from RNAcentral.